UCCUACGGGAGGCAGCAGUGGGGAAUAUUGGACAAUGGGCGCAAGCCUGAUCCAGCCAUGCCGCGUGUGUGAAGAAGGUCUUCGGAUUGUAAAGCACUUUAAGUUGGGAGGAAGGGUUGUAGAUUAAUACUCUGCAGCUUUGACGUUACCGACAGAAUAAGCACCGGCUAACUCCGUGCCAGCAGCCGCGGUA
This 193-nucleotide ribosomal RNA is filed under the name uncultured Pseudomonas sp. RNAcentral describes it as "partial 16S ribosomal RNA". It matches the Rfam family "Bacterial small subunit ribosomal RNA", at positions 337 to 522 of the family's 1533-position model. Lineage: Bacteria; Pseudomonadati; Pseudomonadota; Gammaproteobacteria; Pseudomonadales; Pseudomonadaceae. The record is from RNAcentral.